AGAAUCAUCCUCAUUCACACCAUUGCCACUUGUGUUAGUCCUUGGUAAUGAAAGAAUCCAGCAGAUGGUCAAGAGUGCGUUGUCUGGCUGUAGUCUGGGUUCUUUGUAAAUGCUGUUAACUGGCAGAUUAAUUGUGAUUCUCACACUUCCUCUCUCACUUUCUCAGCCUGCAAACACUAGGAGGCUCAACCUCAAAUCUAUUUUCCUAUGUUUCUGGUGGUUGGUUCCUGAGUACUUCCCUUAGAGACAGUGCCUGCUUUUAUGCUACUUCCGUCUGACACAGGCCAUGCUCUCUAUGCCUUUUUCCUCACCUUAAAAUUAGGGUUUAUAAUUAUAAUGCCUACCUCAUGGAGUUCCAGAGAGGAGUAAAUGAGUUAACACACAUAAAGUGCUUCAGUUUUAGGUGCCAGUUUUUAAGCCCUUUGGUAUGCAUAGAUUCUCAGAUUCAACCUUGCAGUGGCAAAGCAUAGAACAUGUAGCUGAAAGAGAUUGAUUGUAUGGCCAGCUUUUUGUUUUUUUAAAGCAGACAACUGAAAUCCAGAGAAGAGACAGGUCUCUUCCCAACGUCACAUGGCUGUUAGAGAUAGAGCGCGAAGCAGCACUGGGGCUCCCUGCCACCUGAAGCAACUUUCUCAAGGUCCCUGGCUACCGGGCAGUGAGAGGAUCAGAUUCUUAUAGAAGCAGGAGAUUGCAUCUGAAGGCGUGGUAUGGAAAUGAAUAACCUGAGAAAGCACAGCAGGAUGUGAGUAAAUUAAAGCAUUGGGGUUUUUCCCUUGGGUUUUUAGGCAAAGAGGACCUACCUUCUAUAAAAACUUAAAUGAAAAAAGUACUAACAUGAGUGAACAUAGGGGCAAGUCCAAAGCCGAGAUGCCAUUUUUGCUCUAAGUAAAUUCACUGAGGGAAUUUCCCCCCUGAAAGAAAGAAAGAAAGAAAGAAAGAAAGAAAGAAAGAAAGAAAGAAAGAAAGAAAGAAAGAAAGAAAGAAAGAAAGAAAGAUGGAGGAAGGGAGGGAGGGAGGGAAGGAAGAAAGGAAGGAAGGAAGAGGGAAGGAAGGAAGGAAGGAAGGAAGGAAGGAAGGAAGGAAGGAAGGAAGGAAGGAAGGAAGGAAAGAAUGAUUCCAAACCACUGCUUUCACUGUUCUAAUUUCCCACUCUUCUUGGAGGUUAAUCAAGGGGAAUACUGUCAAUGGGUUGAAUAGUUGUGGAACCUAAUGAGUUAGUACUACUCGGAGCUUUUAUUGAAAAGGACAUCUAACUGGUACAAUCGACAUGGGUAAGAGCAGUUGAAUGCAAGGCAAGUAUGACAAAUGAUAAUGAGGUUGCAGUGAGCGGAGUAUUCUACCUUGUUACCAAUAAGUGUGGUGGCCCUGGUUUCUCCCAGGAAGAGGGAUCUGGCUUUGGCAUUGCCCAUGUCAGACACCCAGGGCAUUUCCCUGCUGACUCUCUCCUGAGGGACAGAACAUGCUAAUAUCUCACAAGCCCAAAUUCCAAGUCCCUGUUUGUUGAAAGAGGUCAGCCGGCAUUCUGACCUUACUCAGGUUCCUGAUUAUGGUAUUUUGAAUUGGGUGGCUCAGAAAUCCCCAGAGAUUUCACUGUCUGGUUUCUGGAAGUUUAUGGAAAGUGAAACUCAGCAACAGGAUCCCCAAAGAAAAUAUAAAAAUUAGCACAUGACAGGAGUAACUUCUUGGUUGCUGGGGUGCGUGUGUACAGGGAUCCAGCCCCAUUGAGAGCCAUCCCCUGGGUUGGGGGACGGACACAGGCCAUCAUCUCACAGAGAGCAUCAGGACAGCUUCUGCUUUCCCUCCAUGGAGGGCCUGCCUGAGAAAGAGUUGGCUUCUUUUAUUGUUGCUUUGAAACGCUUAUUGUUGUCUUCUAUUUUGCUGUCACCAUGAAACUGUAAUAAAUAGAGAAGCGUGAUUUCUUCAUCGUCUCCAUCUUCAGAUGCACUUCUCCUCCAGGGUACCUGAGAGCAUGCAGCUGUUGGGGAUCAGGAGGAGGGGAGAGAGAAGUGGGGUUUGGGAAGCACUGGUCAGUUCCAGUCUGAGCAACAAUGUAGUCUGGGAAACAAUGUAGUCUCAUGCCAGUUCCUGGCAUUUGGUGUGCUUUUGUUUGUGAAAGGGUACGGUGCUUUGGCUCUCUUUCAUGGAGCUUUCUUUAGGGGGCUGUUUUUGUCAACUUGGGCAUGGUGUCACACCGACUCACUCCCAUGGAAUCCAGUUAAAUGUUCUUAAUGCGUUUGCUCCAGCUGUGGACAUGUGUUUUGAUUUACAUUGUGCUUGCAUGGCCCGUGGGUAUGCUUCGUUCCUAUGGAAGACAUAAUUUGCAACAGAAGACUUGGAAUAGCAGCAUCCUGCCUACAAAGUCACUGGAACAAGAAGAAAAGACUCCCUGAUUAAUUCCCACAUCUCAGACUGCUCUUCAGAGAGACACCAUUUCAAGUGGUGAACUCAGUGUGGUUCUCAAUCCUGGAUCCGUAAUAGCCUCUCCUGCAUGGAACAUUAACUCCUCAUACCCUCAGCCUACCCAUCCCCAUCUCUCCCAGUCCCAGAGAUUCCCAGCAUAUCUUGGGAGGUGGCCUUGGGAUCAAUAAUAGGUAGGUAGGUAGGUAGGUAGGAAGAUAGAUAGAUAGAUAGAUAGAUAGAUAGAUAGAUAGAUAGAUAGAUAAUAGGUAGAUGGAUGAUAGAUAUUUUUAACACAGAGAUGAAUUCGAAGAUCAGCCAUAGUUGAGAACCACUGAGUCCAUGUGAUCUUUUCAACACAACUCGCAAUAAUGACAAAUCAUAGGUAUACCUAAGAAUAGGGAGAGAAAGAGAUAUGCAUGGAAAUAAAGACAGCCAGCCAAAGAAUGCCCAUGGUCACUAGGGGGCUUCUUGGUUACAACCAACUGCUCCCUUACCUCAUGGGCUAAUUUGGCUUUCUGCAAAGAUGUUACAAAACUCUAUAAAAAUGACAUGGUUUAGAAUCAGAGCAUUGGAAGGUUGUAGAAGUGGCAUGCAUGAGUGAGCCCACAAAUGAAGAGCCAUUCAUGAUCUGCACCAUGCGUGGCUGGUUCCUGGUAGAUAUCCUUUAGUUGGAUGGGGCUCAAGCUUUUGAGUGUUGUUUGCACAUCCAAUACAUACACAAGCUGGUAAUAACCACCUACUAUGUGCCAACUACUCAUCUAACACUUUACUUACAUCAUCUCUUAGCACCUCUACAAGGCCAGCAUUAUUAUCCCCGUUCUAUAAAUGAGACAGUAAAGACCCUUGCCCACAUGCACUCAACAGUUGGGAAGGGUUGGAACUCAGACCUGAGGGAGUCCCAAAGCCAGACUGC
Molecule: long non-coding RNA, 3313 nt
Organism: Pipistrellus kuhlii (Kuhl's pipistrelle)
Lineage: Eukaryota; Metazoa; Chordata; Mammalia; Chiroptera; Vespertilionidae
Exons: 3
Source: RefSeq, a predicted model, not a curated record